This 790-nucleotide ribosomal RNA is filed under the name Pseudomonas sp. Its description in RNAcentral is "partial 16S ribosomal RNA". The record is from RNAcentral. Lineage: Bacteria; Pseudomonadati; Pseudomonadota; Gammaproteobacteria; Pseudomonadales; Pseudomonadaceae.
ACACAUSCAAGUCGAGCGGAUGACGGGAGCUUGCUCCUUGAUUCAGCGGCGGACGGGUGAGUAAUGCCUAGGAAUCUGCSUGGUAGUGGGGGACAACGUUUCGAAAGGAACGCUAAURCCGCAUACGUCCUACGGGAGAAAGCAGGGGACCUUCGGGCCUUGCGCUAUCAGAUGAGCCUAGGUCGGAUUAKCUAGUUGGUGAGGUAAUGGCUCMCCAAGGCGACGAUCCGUAACUGGUCUGAGAGGAUGAUCAGUCACACUGGAACUGAGACACGGUCCAGWCUCCUACGGGAGGCAGCAGUGGGGAAUAUUGSACAAUGGGCGAAAGCCUGAUCCAGCCAUSCCGCGUGUGUGAAGAAGGUYUUCGGAUUGUAAAKCACUUUAAGUUGGGAGGAAGGGCAGUAAGUUAAURCCUUGCUGUUUUGACGUUMCCGACMGAAUAAGCACCGGCUAACUCUGUGCCASCASCCGCGGUAAUACAGAGGGUSCAAGCGUUAAUCGGAAUUWCUGGGCGUAAAGCGCGCGUAGGUGGUUCGUUAAGUUGGAUGUGAAAGCCCCGGGCUCAMCCUGGGARCUGCAUCCAAAACUGGCGAGCUAGAGUMCGGUAGAGGGUGGUGGAAUUUCCUGUGUASCGGUGAAAUGSGUAGAUAUAGGAAGGAMCMCCAGUGGSGAAGGCGACCWCCUGGACUGAUACUGACACUGAGGUGCGAAAGCGUGGGGAGCAAMCAGGAUUAGAUACCCUGGUAGUCCACGCCGUAAACGAUGUCAACUAGCCGUUGGAAUCCUUGAG